UGGUUCAGUGGUAGAAUCCUUGUCUGUCACACAAGAGAUCUGGGUUCAGUUCCCAG
Molecule: non-coding RNA, 56 nt
Organism: Alligator sinensis (Chinese alligator)
Lineage: Eukaryota; Metazoa; Chordata; Crocodylia; Alligatoridae
Source: Rfam